UACGGGGGGGGCAAGCGUUGUUCGGAAUUACUGGGCGUAAAGGGCUCGUAGGCGGCCAACUAAGUCAGACGUGAAAUCCCUCGGCUUAACUGGGGAACUGCGUCUGAUACUGGAUGGCUUGGAUUCGGGAGAGGAAUGCGGAAUUCCAGGUGUAGCGGUGAAAUGCGUAGAUAUCUGGAGGAACACCGGUGGCGAAGGCGGCAUUCUGGACCGAUAUUGACGCUGAGGAGCGAAAGCCAGGGGAGCAAACGGG
This 253-nucleotide ribosomal RNA is filed under the name uncultured bacterium. RNAcentral describes it as "partial 16S ribosomal RNA". It matches the Rfam family "Bacterial small subunit ribosomal RNA", at positions 524 to 776 of the family's 1533-position model. The record is from RNAcentral.